This 218-nucleotide long non-coding RNA is filed under the name Elaeis guineensis (African oil palm). RNAcentral's name for it is "long non-coding RNA (EGUI_LNC054927)". Lineage: Eukaryota; Viridiplantae; Streptophyta; Magnoliopsida; Arecales; Arecaceae. The record is from RNAcentral.
AAAGAUUUUUACUAUUAUCACGUCGUCCAUCUAAAAAAAAAGGAUGGAAAGGUUCGAUAGCAUGUAGCCCAUGGUCCAAUUAAAGUAAUCUAUCAUUAUUGCUACUCCUAAGGAUAGAGUCUAAUUAGUAAUUAAGAGCAAGAUAAAGUAAAGAUAAUUAAGAAUAAAUUGGAUUGAUUGAUGUGUUGAAGAGUUAUCUUUUUUGGAUUACUUUGUAA